AGAACGAACGCUGGCGGCAUGCCUAAUACAUGCAAGUCGAACGAACUCUUCGGAGUUAGUGGCGCACGGGUGCGUAACGCGUGGGAAUCUGCCCCUUGGUUCGGAAUAACAGUUGGAAACGACUGCUAAUACCGGAUGAUGACGAAAGUCCAAAGAUUUAUCGCCAAGGGAUGAGCCCGCGUAGGAUUAGCUAGUUGGUGAGGUAAAGGCUCACCAAGGCAACGAUCCUUAGCUGGUCUGAGAGGAUGAUCAGCCACACUGGGACUGAGACACGGCCCAGACUCCUACGGGAGCAGCAGUAGGAAUAUGGACAAUGGGACGAAAGCCUGAUCCAGCAAUGCCGCGUGGAGUGAUGAAGGCCGUUAAGGGUUGUAAGCUCUUUUACCCGAGAUGAUAAUGACAAGUAGUAGGAGAAUAACGCCCGGACUAAC
This 431-nucleotide ribosomal RNA is filed under the name uncultured soil bacterium. RNAcentral's name for it is "bacterial SSU rRNA". It matches the Rfam family "Bacterial small subunit ribosomal RNA", at positions 26 to 501 of the family's 1533-position model. The record is from RNAcentral.